Molecule: long non-coding RNA, 2710 nt
Organism: Chiroxiphia lanceolata (lance-tailed manakin)
Lineage: Eukaryota; Metazoa; Chordata; Aves; Passeriformes; Pipridae
Exons: 3
Source: RefSeq, a predicted model, not a curated record
AUUAAGGAAAUCACAAACUGAAAUUAAUACAUUUAAAACAAAAUUUUGCAUUCAGGGCUGUUUUCAAGGGUAUUGUUUGACCUCUUCUACCAAAGCAGUUUAGCUUUAUUCCAGGGCAAACACUUCUAGGCUGAAUGAAAUUCCACUGCAUCUACUAAUGAUCACAUGUCUGCCUUCAUUUAAGAUAACAGCACCAAAGGUACUUUCUGAAAUCACGAAGAUAACCAGGGGGGAAGUCUGUGUAUGAAAUGUUCCUUUCCAAUAGCCCAUUCCCCUGUCUGCACCAUUCUGUGGACAUUACCACUUGGACAGUUGAAUCAAAGAGCAUGAAGCCUGUGAACAGAUGACAGAACAUAGGAAAAUGGGCCUUCCCAGCUGUGUGACUUUGCUUCUCUGGGCAUAUCACAAAAUAGAGUUCUUGCAUCUAGUGUUCUUCUUGUUGCUCAUGAAAAACAGUUCUUAUAUAAAUGUGGACAGAUUAAAACCAAAUAAAAGACUGUUCCAGGGAAAAUAUUUUAUUUCCUUAGAAAAUUAAGAAUAAAAGUAAAGUAGUUAAAACAUAUGUUAAUAUAUUCAAAACUCAGCAAAUAUAAACUCAAAGAGAAGCAAAUUUAAAGAUUAGUUUAAAUUUGCUUUCUCUUUUGUGAUUGAGACCAUGGAAAUGAUACUUUGCCAUGCUUCAGAGUCAUUGCUGGUUGAUAACUGCAUGUGGAAAUUCAAUUUAUGUGCUACAUUCUCUGCUAGUGUUAAUCAAAAUAUUUCUCUAGUAGUUGCUAGAGUCGUUUAGUAAGCACAGGUGAGAUUUGUUCUAAACCACAGCAUGCGACCUUUGUUUCUGGGAAAAUAUAUUUGAUAAUGUUUGUGUGUUACCGUACUUAAUUAUCCUCAGUUAGUGGAACUUCAUACUGUUUCUUCAUGCCAUUCUCUGACAAAAAGUAAAUGAUGAGGCUUAGGAUUUUAGUCUAGGCAUAAGGAACACUCAUGUUGAGUCAAGGAACACUUGUAUGAAAUAAUUGACUUUGUUUAUCCAUCUGCAAUUUAUCCACAAGAACAGCAUUGAAAGGUGACAUUUAUCUUACAAGUUUCUCAUUCAUUUCUGUACUCUGAACUCAACUUUCAUGCAGCUCAAGUGCAUGAUACAUGUAGAUGAAUAUUUAUUGUAGAUGAUUAAGUGUCCUUUGACAGUAUAAUAUACUUCACUGUAAAAAUAAACAGAUUGUGCAUGAGGCUGUCUGAUUUGACUGGUGGCACAGAUAGUACCUCACUUAUCUAUGCUUUUCAUCAGAAGAUCUCAACACCAUUUACUGAAGAGGGAAGUACCAAUAUUCUUCCUUGGUAAUUCCACAUCCUUUACUGGAUUUAGCAGUGCUUGAAGAUCCUGAGACCUCAAAAGUCCCUCUCAUAACACCCAUACAACAUAUCUUAUUCAAAACUAUGUUUUAAAGUAUUGGAAACAUUGUGGCCCCAUAGGGAUGGAAGCAGGUCUGUAUUUUGAUAUUUCCAGGGGUAAAUACAAGUUUCCACUAAAAUUCUUCAACAAAUAUUACCAUCCCAAUAAACUUAACUGAAUUUCUCUUAAGAACAUUUGUAUAAUCUGCUCUCUAAUUCAAAAUCAUGUCUGGAAUGUUAAUGAAGAGAAUUUGCUAACUUUAGUUUGUAGUUUAACUGUGCUGUAACCCAUGACUGGAAAGGAAGGCCAAGACUCCCAAACUCAUACCACCUCCAAGACAAAGAGAGUUUAUAGAACUGCAACCUUUUGCUAGAAAAAAAUAAUUAAAAAUUAAUCCAGAUUUCACCCUAAAGAAGAGAAAAAAAAUAGAAAUUGAGUUUUAAAGAUGCAUGUUUGUGGCUAAGUAGCUAACCAAAUUUGCAAAGAGAUUUAUAUAUGAUUUAUGUCCCUUUGUUUUUGUUGUUUACUAAGGACCACAUGUUAUCUGGGGCAUUUACUCUAUGAAUAAUAUACUGCAAAAAUAUAACCUAAUGGUGAGAAACUGGUUACUCAGAAAGCCUGGGAAUCAACACAUCUAUUCAGAAGUCUAAUGUGAGGUACCUGGCUUUAAAAUGUAGUGCUCUUAAUGCCUGCCCAUUUUCUGAAACAAAUUGGUGCAGAAGGUGCCAGGUGAAUGACUUGCCAUUUACUGCUACCUACCAUUAAGGGUCUUUUCUGAUGUCUGGAAAUGGGAUUUGAGGGGAAAAAAAAGGAAAGAAACUAAAAUACUGGAUGGGACUUAUGGGAUGUAAGGUUGAAGGAGCUGAGGUUACCCUUGUGGAGUGAACUUGGCAAGGCAGGUGACGAUUUCCAUAGGAGGAGAGAAUCGGCUUUGGGAAACUUUACCACAGCAGACAUGUUUGCUAGUAAAAGAGAAAAGAACCAUGUUUGAAGCCGUUGGAUGUGUUUUGGCUUUUAGAUAAAGAAGGACAAGCAAUAAAUACGUCACCAAUAUCUCACUGAAAAUCUCAGAUGCUGGCUCAGCUUUGUCAGUGACAUAUUGCAAAUUUUAAAAAUAAUGAAGGUGAUUUCGGUUCUGGUGGAUACCUGUCUAGCUGGAACCUCUUACUACCAUGGUAUGCUUUUGUUCACUGUGGUAAUUUUAAUGGCAUGGAUGCCACAAGUAAGGGAUCACUCUCGUGAGGAAAUUGUAGAGAAAAGGAAGAAGUAUAAAGAAUCCAGCUCUAUUUCAGCUGGAUCAACUAAUAUUUCAAUAUAAAA